GAUGAAGAACGUAGUGAAAUGCGAUAAGUAAUGUGAAUUGCAGAAUUCAGUGAAUCAUCGAAUCUUUGAACGCACAUUGCGCCCGGUAGUAUUCUGCCGGGCAUGCCUGUUCGAGCGUCAUUUCAACCAUCAAGCCCCAGCGCUUGUGUUGGGGGCCUGCGGCUGCCGCAGCCCCCCAAAAGCAGUGGCGGGCUCGCUAUCACACCGAGUGCAGUAGUUCAUCUUCUCUCCGGUCUUGUGAGGCGGGUUACGGCCGUGAAACACCCCACUACAUUCAAGGUUGACCUCGGAUCAGGUAGGAAUACCCGCUGAACUUAAGCAUAUCAAUAAGCGGAGGA
Molecule: unclassified non-coding RNA, 338 nt
Filed under: soil metagenome
Description: partial contains 5.8S ribosomal RNA, internal transcribed spacer 2, and large subunit ribosomal RNA
Rfam family: 5.8S ribosomal RNA (bases 1-120)
Source: RNAcentral